AACUUAUAGAGUUUGCCCAAACUAAUUUUUUAAAAAUUUGGUUUACUAUCAAAUCUUCCAGUUUGAUUGAUUUGAGUCAGUCAACGAUAUUGUCAUUAUUGUUAUUAUUAAUAACUGCUCUGUGAAUCUGACAAUUUUUUUUUUCUAUUAUCCGAGAAUGAAUUUUUUUUGUAUCAAAUUUAAAUCCUGGCCCCCUCGAAUUUUAAUUUCUGGCUUCGUCCUGAUUCUCUAUGUUGGAUGUAAUUAGAAAUGAAGUAUGUUUGAAGAUGCACGCAUUUAGAGAUGCGGCAUUUACAACUACAUAUUUAUCGUUUGGCCGAAUGCAGUAGAUAAAUAAGGUAAGUUUAUCUUUUGUUAAAAUUAUUUGUAAUUAGACCUCCUCAUGCUAUUCCAACUACAACAGAUGAAUUCAAACGCAUCAAACCAAAUAUAAGAUUUGAAUUUGCAUGUAGUAUAAGACUACAAUAUAAUUG
Molecule: long non-coding RNA, 473 nt
Filed under: Ananas comosus (pineapple)
Lineage: Eukaryota; Viridiplantae; Streptophyta; Magnoliopsida; Poales; Bromeliaceae
Description: long non-coding RNA (ACOM_LNC011291)
Source: RNAcentral